Molecule: ribosomal RNA, 1468 nt
Filed under: uncultured bacterium
Lineage: Bacteria
Description: bacterial SSU rRNA
Rfam family: Bacterial small subunit ribosomal RNA
Source: RNAcentral
GCGAAUUCGCCCUUCCAGAGUUUGAUCCUGGCUCAGGAUGACCGUUGGCGGUUUGCCUAACACAUGCAAGUCGAACGGAAUCUUCGGAUUUAGUGGCGGACGGGUGAGUAACACGUGAGAAUCUGGCUUCGGGAUGGGGAUAACAACUGGAAACGGUUGCUAAAACCCAAUGUGCCGAGAGGUGAAAUAUUUAUAGCCUGAAGAUGAGCUCGCGUCUGAUUAGCUAGAUGGUGGGGUAAAAGCCUACCAUGGCGACGAUCAUUAGCUGUUCUGAGAGGAAGAUCAGCCACACUGGGACUGAGACACGGCCCAGACUCCUACGGGAGGCAGCAGUGGGGAAUUUUCCGCAAUGGGCGAAAGCCUGACGGAGCAAUACCGCGUGCGGGAGGAAGGCCCUUGGGUCGUAAACCGCUUUUCUUAGGGAAGAAACCUGACGGUACCUAAGGAAAAAGCCUCGGCUAACUCCGUGCCAGCAGCCGCGGUAAUACGGAGGAGGCAAGCGUUAUCCGGAAUUAUUGGGCGUAAAGAGUCCGUAGGUGGUUUGACAAGUCUGCGGUCAAAGAGUGCAGCUCAACUGCAUAGAGGCCGUGGAAACUGUUGAACUAGAGUAUGGUAGGGGUAGGGGGAAUUCCCAGUGUAGCGGUGAAAUGCGUAGAGAUUGGGAAGAACACCGGUGGCGAAAGCGCCCUGCUGGGCCAUAHCUGACACUGAGGGACGAAAGCUAGGGGAGCGAAUGGGAUUAGAUACCCCAGUAGUCCUAGCCGUAAACGAUGGAAACUAGGCGUAGCUUGUAUCGACCCGAGCUGUGCCGAAGCUWACGCGUUAAGUUUCCCGCCUGGGGAGUACGCACGCAAGUGUGWAACUCAAAGGAAUUGACGGGGGCCCGCACAAGCGGUGGAGUAUGUGGUUUAAUUCGAUGCAACGCGAAGAACCUUACCAAGGCUUGACAUCCCGCGAAUCCCGGUGAAAGUCGGGAGUGCCUUAGGGAGCGCGGAGACAGGUGGUGCAUGGCUGUCGUCAGCUCGUGUCGUGAGAUGUUGGGUUAAGUCCCGCAACGAGCGCAACCCUCGUCCUUAGUUGCCAGCAUUAAGUUGGGCACUCUAGGGAGACUGCCGGUGACAAACCGGAGGAAGGUGAGGAUGACGUCAAGUCAGCAUGCCCCUUACGUCUUGGGCUACACACGUACUACAAUGGUUGGGACAAAGGGCAGCAAGCUCGCGAGAGUAAGCGAAUCUCAUCAAACCCAGCCUCAGUUCAGAUUGCAGGCUGCAACUCGCCUGCAUGAAGUAGGAAUCGCUAGUAAUCGCAGGUCAGCAUACUGCGGUGAAUCCGUUCCCGGGCCUUGUACACACCGCCCGUCACACCAUGGAAGCUGGCAACAUCCGAAGUCGUUACUCCAACUGUUCGCAGAGGAGGGCGCCGAAGGUGGGGCUAGUGACUGGGGUGAAGUCAUAACAAGGUAGCCGUA